RNAcentral lists this ribosomal RNA (447 nucleotides) under uncultured bacterium. RNAcentral describes it as "SSU rRNA". It matches the Rfam family "Bacterial small subunit ribosomal RNA", at positions 26 to 518 of the family's 1533-position model. The record is from RNAcentral.
AGAACGAACGCUGGCGGCAGGCCUCAAACAUGCAAGUCUAGGGGGUGUAGCAAUACAUCACCGGCGGACGGGUGCGUAACGCGUGGGAAUGUACCUAUUGGUUCGGAACAACACAGGGAAACUUGUGCUAAUACCGGAUGAGCCCGAAAGGGGAAAGAUUUCUCGCCAAUAGAUCAGCCCGCGUCCGAUUAGCUAGUUGGUGGGGUUAAAGCCUACCAAGGCGACGAUCGGUAGCUUUCUGAGAGGAAGAUCAGCCACACUGGGACUGAGACACGGCCCAGACUCCUACGGGAGGCAGCAGUUGGGAAUCUUGGACAAUGGGGGAAACCCUGAUCCAGCCAUGCCGCGUGAGUGAUGAAGGCCUUCGGGUUGUAAAACUCUUUCGACGGGGACGAUAAUGACGGUACCCGUAGAAGAAGCUCCGGCUAACUUCGUGCCAGCAGCCGC